UGGCGAACGGGUGAGUAACACGUGAGUAACCUGCCCUUGACUUUGGGAUAACUUCAGGAAACUGGGGCUAAUACCGGAUAGGAGCUCCUGCUGCAUGGUGGGGGUUGGAAAGUUUCGGCGGUUGGGGAUGGACUCGCGGCUUAUCAGCUUGUUGGUGGGGUAGUGGCUUACCAAGGCUUUGACGGGUAGCCGGCCUGAGAGGGUGACUGGCCACAUUGGGACUGAGAUACGGCCCAG
This 237-nucleotide ribosomal RNA is filed under the name uncultured Actinomycetales bacterium. RNAcentral's name for it is "partial 16S ribosomal RNA". It matches the Rfam family "Bacterial small subunit ribosomal RNA", at positions 96 to 334 of the family's 1533-position model. Lineage: Bacteria; Bacillati; Actinomycetota; Actinomycetes; Actinomycetales. The record is from RNAcentral.